This 253-nucleotide ribosomal RNA is filed under the name uncultured microorganism. Its description in RNAcentral is "partial 16S ribosomal RNA". It matches the Rfam family "Bacterial small subunit ribosomal RNA", at positions 524 to 776 of the family's 1533-position model. The record is from RNAcentral.
UACGUAGGGUGCGAGCGUUAAUCGGAUUUACUGGGCGUAAAGCGUGCGCAGGCGGCCCGUUAAGACAGGUGUGAAAUCCCUGGGCUCAACCUAGGAAUUGCGCUUGUGACUGGCGGGCUCGAGUACGGUAGAGGGGGGUGGAAUUCCUGGUGUAGCAGUGAAAUGCGUAGAGAUCAGGAGGAACACCGAUGGCGAAGGCAGCCCCGUGGGCCUGUACUGACGCUCAUGCACGAAAGCGUGGGGAGCAAACAGG